This 274-nucleotide ribosomal RNA is filed under the name uncultured bacterium. RNAcentral describes it as "partial 16S ribosomal RNA". It matches the Rfam family "Bacterial small subunit ribosomal RNA", at positions 523 to 796 of the family's 1533-position model. The record is from RNAcentral.
AUACGAAAGGUGCAAGCGUUGUUCGGAUUUACUGGGCGUAAAGAGAGUGUAGGUUGUUUAUUAAGUCGGAUGUGAAAUCCCGGGGCUCAACCUCGGAACUGCAUUCGAUACUGAUAGGCUCGAGUUCGGGAGGGGUAAGCGGAAUUCCGUGUGUAGCAGUGAAAUGCGUAGAUAUACGGAGGAACACCUGAGGCGAAGGCGGCUUACUGGACCGAUACUGACACUGAGACUCGAAAGCGUGGGUAGCAAACAGGAUUAGAAACCCCGGUAGUCC